Molecule: transfer RNA, 96 nt
Filed under: Defluviicoccus sp.
Lineage: Bacteria; Pseudomonadati; Pseudomonadota; Alphaproteobacteria; Rhodospirillales; Rhodospirillaceae
Description: tRNA-Sec
Rfam family: Selenocysteine transfer RNA
Source: RNAcentral
GGAAAAGAAUCGCGGCCCGGUGGCGCGCCCGGUCUUCAAAACCGGUGAGGGGCGUGAGACGUCCCUGGUGGGUUCGACUCCCACUCUUUUCCGCCA